RNAcentral lists this long non-coding RNA (265 nucleotides) under Ananas comosus (pineapple). RNAcentral describes it as "long non-coding RNA (ACOM_LNC041599)". Lineage: Eukaryota; Viridiplantae; Streptophyta; Magnoliopsida; Poales; Bromeliaceae. The record is from RNAcentral.
UGACACUAUGACAUAGAUCGAGUGGUAUUUGAUAAAGUUAAUGUAAAAUGACACUAGAGAUAGUGUGAGGUAAAGAACCAAGGUAAUGUAAAGAAUGAUGAAAAUGAUAAUGUGUAAAGUUAAAGUAAAGUGGGGCAAUAAGAACAAGAAAAGUAACGAACAAGAAUGCUGGAGUUAGCAGAAGUAAAGAAAUGUAAAGAAUGUGAUUGCAUGAGUUUGCAACAUAAAGUGAUGUAAAGGACACUAGAGCUAGUGUAAAGUCAAG